CCAACCCAGCCGCGAGCGACGCGUGGCGCGGUCCCUUCACGCCAAGGGGCUACCUCGCCCGGCUUUGUUUGUUAAUGGGGCGAGAAUCUCCAGGCCCGAGGGACUGGAGGGACGAGGAGGCAGAGGAAAGGAAAAGAUGAUGCCAGGAAGUCCAUUCCCUACUUUCUAACUUUUUAUAAAAAAUGGUCUCAGCCUCCGGUGCCAUCGGCAACGAAGGUCAAAGGAGUCCUAGCUUAUUCCUUUUCGUUGAAUGGUAUAAAUAAUUCAAACCUAGAAUCUGGGAGUCAAGAGAAAAAAAAAAUGGUGAAAGGAUCCAGAGGUAACUGUGAAGGUUGAAACAGAGGUAGAGCCAGAUUGCUACCACUAUAUACUUAAGUUCCCUUUACGGGCCUUCUCUCUGCACGUUUGCAAGGCAGAUAGGAAAGAAGUGUGAAAAGAAGUGCCACAGAAAACAAAUCAUAAAUGUAAUUUGUCCUAGUUUGGAUGCAGGAUUCUGCAAGACAUAUCAAAGUUUGAACUUUCCAAAAUUACCAAACACAGAUCGAUGUCACCUUUCAUGCAGCCAAGGGAAAGGUUUUGUUUAUGUAUGUGUGUGUAUAUAAAUUCAUACACACACACGGUAUUAUCUUUUAGCGUUCCGUGGGGAUAACUUCCAGAGCUCUGGAAUUUGUCCUUCAGGAUUCAUGGACCGUACUACCUUUUCGAGAAUGUCAGGUUGAAUGCCGCUGAAUACUGAUUGUAUAUUCUCUGGGAAGUUUGACCAAACCAACCUGUUGAAGAUGACAAGAGGUUGAGGUGUUCUUUGUGCAUGUGAGCAGUGGCUUACAUAAGGCCUGAAGCACCUUCAGAAACCCACCUCUGCUUUAACAUUCAGCUCCUUAUCUAGUUCAGGUGAUAUUGUUUGUUCUACCCGAGCAUCUUUGUGGAUCCACCUGACUUCCAAACCCCCCUGAAUUCACACAGGACCUCAAAAAGAGCCAUCCAAAGCUGCAUUGGGAUGCCGCAGGUUAAAAAUGCCGUGGUUAAAAUUACUGCGACUUAAAGAGGCCAUGGAUGAAAGAAAGAUGCCUCCUCUUCAAAAGAGGCCACCAGAUGAAGAUGAUCCAUCUUAAAGACACCAUGGAUAAAGGAUUCUUCCUCUUCAAAAAGAGGCGUGGAUAAAUUUGCCGCGUCCUAAAGAGGCGAAUAAAUUUGCCGCGUCUUAAAGAGGCCGCAGAUAAAUUUACCACGUCUUAAAGAGGCCGCGGAUAAAGAUGCCGCAGACUUUGCGGAUAACAGAUACCUUCUCUUCAAAAAGAGGCCAUGGACAAAUGGAUGGAUCUAGAAAGCAUCAUAUUAAGUGAGAUCCUUCAGCUGGCGAUGGAUGGAGAUGGAGACGGAGACCCACACUGG
Molecule: non-coding RNA, 1392 nt
Organism: Myodes glareolus (Bank vole)
Lineage: Eukaryota; Metazoa; Chordata; Mammalia; Rodentia; Cricetidae
Source: RefSeq, a predicted model, not a curated record